Alligator sinensis (Chinese alligator) is the source of this 68-nucleotide non-coding RNA. The record is from Rfam. NCBI's taxonomy places the organism in Eukaryota, Metazoa, Chordata, Crocodylia, Alligatoridae.
UACCCAGCCCCAUGACGGCCUGUCUUCAAACCAGACUGCUGGUGAGGCAGACCUGAAAGCCUGGCGUA